GGUUCUAUAGUGUAGCGGUUAGCACUUCGGAUUCUGAUUCCGGCAACCCCGGUUCGAUUCCGGGUAGGACCU
This 72-nucleotide transfer RNA is filed under the name Cladosporium sphaerospermum UM 843. RNAcentral's name for it is "tRNA-Gln (CTG) (tRNA-Gln-CTG-1 1 to 4)". It matches the Rfam family "tRNA". Rfam says of the family: Transfer RNA (tRNA) molecules are approximately 80 nucleotides in length. Their secondary structure includes four short double-helical elements and three loops (D, anti-codon, and T loops). Lineage: Eukaryota; Fungi; Ascomycota; Dothideomycetes; Cladosporiales; Cladosporiaceae. The record is from RNAcentral.